AUUUGGACUUGGAUUGAACCUGUGACAAAUCCUUUGCUUAUGCUUCUUCCAUCCCUGCUUCCAUGUUAUAUCCUUUCCCCUUCUAAAAUGGUAAAAUGACCGCAUUCUGUAUCUUCUGGGAUACCCCCUCAUGAUACGAAAAGACUAUGACCAAUUCCAAAGCAUACCUUGGGAAUUCACAAAAUUUGUAUGAAAAGAAAAUUUGUGGACAUUUCAGACCAUCCUACAAUUGCUAUAAAUAUAUGCCAUACAAUAGAAGAAUGCCAGUGCUUAAGAGCAAAAACUUCAAAAGCAAGAACACAAGGGGCCGGUGAAAUUUCAUUGAAAAGCACUGAGGAGGACAGAGCAAACCAGACAUACAUAGGAGGCACAGCAAAAGACCCAAGGCGAGGGGGCUUCCCUCACCUUCACCCUUGUUCUCACGUGGAGGUGGCGCAUGUCUAUGAGACACAGUACCCCACUCAGCGAUCCUCUGCGGUCCAGCAAAUUCUAGCACUUGUUUGGAAAACAAAUCAAGUGUGUGGCCCAGGGAAGACAAAAGAUUGGAUCCCCAUGAUCUAGUCAGUCCUCACUGAAGAUUUUUUUUUUCUGCGACAGAAAUAUUCAUGCUUUCAACACGGAAUGGGCCUGACUGUGUUGGUUCCCAGCAUACAAGGAACGAUGUGGACAGAACUGCCUGACACAUACGUCAGUCCACAGAGUUCUUAGAACUGGUUCAAGUCAGCUGUUGAACUAUGCCUGGUCAUCUAUUUACCGUUGUGCCCUCACUUGACAAGACAGGUACAAAUGCAAUAAUUUAAA
Rhinopithecus roxellana (golden snub-nosed monkey) is the source of this 801-nucleotide long non-coding RNA. RefSeq lists it as uncharacterized. The transcript has 4 exons. Lineage: Eukaryota; Metazoa; Chordata; Mammalia; Primates; Cercopithecidae. The record is from RefSeq and is a predicted model, not a curated record.